This 495-nucleotide ribosomal RNA is filed under the name uncultured bacterium. RNAcentral describes it as "partial 16S ribosomal RNA". It matches the Rfam family "Bacterial small subunit ribosomal RNA", at positions 28 to 507 of the family's 1533-position model. The record is from RNAcentral.
GACGAACGCUGGCGGCGUGCCUAAUACAUGCAAGUAGAACGCUGAAGGAGGAGCUUGCUUCUCUGGAUGAGUUGCGAACGGGUGAGUAACGCGUAGGUAACCUGCCUGGUAGCGGGGGAUAACUAUUGGAAACGAUAGCUAAUACCGCAUAAUAGUAGAUGUUGCAUGACAUUUGCUUAAAAGGUGCAAUUGCAUCACUACCAGAUGGACCUGCGUUGUAUUAGCUAGUUGGUGGGGUAACGGCUCACCAAGGCGACGAUACAUAGCCGACCUGAGAGGGUGAUCGGCCACACUGGGACUGAGACACGGCCUAGACUCCUACGGGAGGCAGCAGUAGGGAAUCUUCGGCAAUAGACGGAAGUCUGACCGAGCAACGCCGCGUGAGUGAAGAAGGUUUUCGGAUCGUAAAGCUCUGUUGUAAGAGAAGAACGAGUGUGAGAGUGGAAAGUUCACACUGUGACGGUAUCUUACCAGAAAGGGACGGCUAACUACGUG